GACGAACGCUGGCGGCGUGCUUAACACAUGCAAGUCGAACGGAAAGGCCCUGCUUUUGUGGGGUUUUCGAGUGGCGAACGGGCGAGUAACACGGGAGUAACUUUCCCACGAGUUUGGGACAACUUCAUGAAACUGGGGCUAUAACCGUAAUGCAGCUUCUGCUGCCAGGAGGGGGUUGGAAAGUUUCGGAGGGUGUGGAUGGACUCGCGGCUUAUCCGUUUGUUGGUGGGGUAGUGGCGUACCAAGGCUUCCACGGGUAGCCGGCCUGAGAGGGGGACCGGCCACAUUGGGACUGAGAUACGGCACGGACUACUACGGGAGGCAGCAGUAGGGAAUAUUGCACAAUGGGCGGAAGCCUGAUGCAGCAACGCCGCGUGCGGGAUGACGGCCUUCGGGUUGUAGGCCGCUUUCGCCUGUGAGGAAGCGUGAGUGACGGUAAUGUAUAAAGAAGCACCGGCUAACUACGUG
This 468-nucleotide ribosomal RNA is filed under the name uncultured bacterium. RNAcentral's name for it is "partial 16S ribosomal RNA". It matches the Rfam family "Bacterial small subunit ribosomal RNA", at positions 28 to 507 of the family's 1533-position model. The record is from RNAcentral.